GGGAGUUCAAGGUCCUCCUGAUGUUUUUGGGAUGCCCAGGGGGGGUCUUGGGGUGCAGAGAGGAUCCCAGGCCCCCCCUAAGGAUAUUGGGGUGCUCAGGGGGGUCUUGGGGUGCAGGGUGGCUCCCAGGGCCCCCCUAAGGAUAUUGGGGUGCUGGGGGGGGCUUAGCGCUCCCCAUAGAUAUUGGGGUGCAGGGGGAGAAUCUCAAAACCCCCAUAAGGGUUUUGGGAUCCUAAGAUUUGGGGGGGGGCCUUAGGACCCCCCAAAGUGUAUUGGGGUGCCGUGGGGGGGGUGUGAGGCUGCAGGAGCACCUUCCCCUCCCCUCGUUAAAUCUUUUUGGGGUGCCCCCCCUGAAAUCUUUUUGGGGUGCCCCCCUCCCAGAUCAUGGAGGCAGAGACGGAAUCCCCCCCCCCGCGACCUAGAGCUGUCGGCGCUUGAAGCCGAAAAAGAGCCGAUGGCGGCGAGAGCGGAGAACGAGGAUGAAGAGGAAGAAGAAAGGGGGGGCCCUGCCCCCCCCGGGCCCGAUCCUGUCCCCCUCCCCGGCAGCGAAAAGAACGGCUUGGUGAAAAUCCCAACGGAUGAAGAAUUGGGGGGGGGGCCCCGACGUUUCAGGGGGUUGUAAAUUUACAGGUUUAGGGAAAGAAGAAUUAUUGCGGGCGGCGGGGGCCCCCCCCCUGGGCGAAGGCUCGAGCUCUCCUCCUCUUCCUCUUCUGGCUCGGCUGGUUGGGGAUGUUGGGGGCCGCCGCCGCCAUCGUCGCCCGGGCCCCCCGCUGUCGACCCCUGCCCCCCCCGCGCUUGGUGGGAGUUGGGGGGGCUUUAUCGAGCCCCCCCGCGUCCCUUUGCGGGGGACUUGAAAGGCGUGGCGGCGCGGCUGGAUCACGUGGCGGGGCUGCACAUGCGGGGGCUGGUGUUGGGGCCGCUGCACCCCCAAAUCUCAGGGGAUCCCCGAAAUUCCUCCCUGGAGCAACUGGAUCCGCUGCUGGGUUCUCUCCAGGACUUUGCCGAUCUCCUGCAGACAGCCAAAAAAAAGGGGCUGCAGGUGAUCCUGGAUUUGACCCCCAACUAUUUUGGGGGGGGCGGCCUGGCUCGGGCCAGAGGUGGCCGAGGACCCCGGAUUCCAUGAGAAGGUCAAGCGGGCGCUGAGCGUGUGGCUGGAGCGCGGCGUCGCCGGCUUUUUCCUGGACGGCAUCGAGGAGCUGCAGGUGGGGCUGGGGGGGCUCUGGGGGGCAGGACGGGGGGACUUGGGGGCUGGGGGGGCUCUCUGGGGCAG
RNAcentral lists this long non-coding RNA (1270 nucleotides) under Aquila chrysaetos chrysaetos. Its description in RNAcentral is "lncRNA (ENSACCG00020008272.1)". The record is from RNAcentral. Lineage: Eukaryota; Metazoa; Chordata; Aves; Accipitriformes; Accipitridae.